GUCUAGACUAACCUCUUUCAGUGGUUAACGCGUGAGACUUGAAAUCUCAUUCCUUCGGGAGCGCAGGUUCAAACCCUGCUCUGGUCG
This is a non-coding RNA of Thozetella sp. PMI_491, 87 nucleotides long. The record is from the annotation of a GenBank genome assembly. NCBI's taxonomy places the organism in Eukaryota, Fungi, Ascomycota, Sordariomycetes, Chaetosphaeriales, Chaetosphaeriaceae.